GUGCCAGCAGCCGCGGUAAUACGUAGGGGGCAAGCGUUAUCCGGAAUUACUGGGUGUAAAGGGUGCGUAGGCGGCAAUGUAAGUCAGGUGUGAAAGCCCAAAGCUCAACUUUGGGACUGCACUUGAAACUAUGUAGCUAGAGUACAGGAGAGGAAAGUGGAAUUCCUAGUGUAGCGGUGAAAUGCGUAGAUAUUAGGAGGAACACCAGUGGCGAAGGCGACUUUCUGGACUGUAACUGACGCUGAGGCAC
Molecule: ribosomal RNA, 250 nt
Filed under: uncultured bacterium
Lineage: Bacteria
Description: partial 16S ribosomal RNA
Rfam family: Bacterial small subunit ribosomal RNA
Source: RNAcentral